RNAcentral lists this non-coding RNA (74 nucleotides) under uncultured Sphingomonas sp. Its description in RNAcentral is "Glycine riboswitch". It matches the Rfam family "Glycine riboswitch aptamer", at positions 9 to 86 of the family's 94-position model. Rfam says of the family: This family represents the bacterial glycine riboswitch. Glycine riboswitches usually consist of two metabolite-binding aptamers domains with similar structures in tandem. Lineage: Bacteria; Pseudomonadati; Pseudomonadota; Alphaproteobacteria; Sphingomonadales; Sphingomonadaceae. The record is from RNAcentral.
UGUGGGAGAGACCGGGGUCAUCCCGGCGCCGAAGGAGCAACCGCCCCGGAAACUCUCAGGCAGAAGGACCACGC